GCGAUCUACUUUCCCUAGAUUCUGUUUUCUAUGUCACAAUUUGCUAUCGAUUCUCAUUCUUGGGUUCAAAGUUAACCUAAUUUCUGUAAUUUUCAUACUUUAAGGCCUCUAUCAGUUGGAGUGAAUUAAAAAUCAAAUUUGGUGACAUGAGGUGAUACUUCAAUGUUAAGUUUAUUGAGACAGGAAAGCUGCACUGAAUUUGUCUAAUGUCCUGAAUUCAUGAUUAUGGAUCUGGAAAAACAUCAGAGGUUAAUCCAAACAAACUGGUUAAUCCGAGUUGCCACAUAUUCCAAGAGGAUUCAUGGUGAUGACUGGAGAUAUCUGGGCAGUGGACUCCUUCGCGCCCCCCUCAGUGUCGACUACCGCUACUUCCGCCGUUGGCAGUGUGUCUGCUACAUCACUUUGCGCAGACAAAGAGAGACUCAAUUUAAAAGGAUAAUGUGUCAAAAAUUUAAGAAAGUGAAAGUUUGGCUAACAAGGCCUUUAUAGUGGUCCACAAAAUAGAAUUUACAAAAAUAGCUUUGUGCUGUGUGUUUCCAGCUAAGGACUCUGCCAAGUAUUUAUUAAUUUAAAUUUUAUGAUUUAUCAUUAUUGUCCAUGUGUUAAAUUGUCAAUUUCUGACUAGCUUAUUGAUUGUAGCUCAUAAUAUUCUCCAACU
Molecule: long non-coding RNA, 658 nt
Organism: Nilaparvata lugens (brown planthopper)
Lineage: Eukaryota; Metazoa; Arthropoda; Insecta; Hemiptera; Delphacidae
Exons: 4
Source: RefSeq, a predicted model, not a curated record